GACGAACGCUGGCGGCGUGCCUAACACAUGCAAGUCGAACGGUGAAGCGCCUUCCUUUUUGGUGGGUGUGGAUGAGUGGCGAACGGGUGAGUAACACGUGAGUAACCUGCCCCCUUCUUCUGGAUAACCGCAUGAAAGUGUGGCUAAUACGGGAUAUUCUGGGUCUGUCGCAUGAUGGGUCUGGGAAAGAUAUUGUUUCGGUGGGGGAUGGGCUCGCGGCCUAUCAGCUUGUUGGUGGGGUGAUGGCCUACCAAGGCGGUGACGGGUAGCCGGCCUGAGAGGGUGGACGGUCACACUGGGACUGAGACACGGCCCAGCCUCCUACGGGAGGCAGCAGUGGGGAAUAUUGCACAAUGGGCGCAAGCCUGAUGCAGCGACGCCGCGUGAGGGAUGGAGGCCUUCGGGUUGUGAACCUCUUUCGCCAGUGAAGCAGGCCUGCCUCGUUUGUGGGUGGGUUGACGGUAGCUGGAUAAGAAGCGCCGGCUAACUACGUG
Molecule: ribosomal RNA, 494 nt
Filed under: uncultured bacterium
Lineage: Bacteria
Description: partial 16S ribosomal RNA
Rfam family: Bacterial small subunit ribosomal RNA
Source: RNAcentral